AAACACUCAAGCCCUGGCGCCUACGUCUCUGGAUAAGGCGCCCCGGCCGUGACCUUGCGUCACCAGGGUGCAGAAAGAAAUGACUGCAUCUCCCGAUAUUGGAAAGGUGUAUAUGGUU
RNAcentral lists this non-coding RNA (118 nucleotides) under insect gut metagenome. RNAcentral's name for it is "Moco (molybdenum cofactor) riboswitch". It matches the Rfam family "Molybdenum/Tungsten riboswitch aptamer (Moco RNA motif)", at positions 10 to 125 of the family's 135-position model. The record is from RNAcentral.